UACGUAGGGGGCAAGCGUUGUCCGGAAUUACUGGGCGUAAAGAGCUCGUAGGUGGUUUGUCGCGUUGUUCGUGAAAACUCACAGCUUAACUGUGGGCGUGCGGGCGAUACGGGCAGACUGGAGUACUGCAGGGGAGACUGGAAUUCCUGGUGUAGCGGUGGAAUGCGCAGAUAUCAGGAGGAACACCGGUGGCGAAGGCGGGUCUCUGGGCAGUAACUGACGCUGAUGCGCGAAAGCGUGGGGAGCAAACGGG
Molecule: ribosomal RNA, 253 nt
Filed under: uncultured bacterium
Lineage: Bacteria
Description: partial 16S ribosomal RNA
Rfam family: Bacterial small subunit ribosomal RNA
Source: RNAcentral